Molecule: ribosomal RNA, 468 nt
Filed under: uncultured bacterium
Lineage: Bacteria
Description: partial 16S ribosomal RNA
Rfam family: Bacterial small subunit ribosomal RNA
Source: RNAcentral
GACGAACGCUGGCGGCGUGCUUAACACAUGCAAGUCGAACGGAAAGGCCCUACUUUUGUGGGGUGCUCGAGUGGCGAACGGGUGAGUAACACGUGAGUAACCUGCCCUUGACUUUGGGAUAACUUCAGGAAACUGGGGCUAAUACCGGAUAGGAGCUCCUGCUGCAUGGUGGGGGUUGGAAAGUUUCGGCGGUUGGGGAUGGACUCGCGGCUUAUCAGCUUGUUGGUGGGGUAGUGGCUUACCAAGGCUUUGACGGGUAGCCGGCCUGAGAGGGAGACCGGCCACAUUGGGCCUGAGAUACGGCCCAGACGCCUACGUGAGGCAGCAGUGGGGAAUAUUGCACAAUGGGCGGAAGCCUGAUGCAGCAACGCCGCGUGCGGGAUGACGGCCUUCGGGUUGUAAACCGCUUUCGCCUGUGACGAAGCGUGAGUGACGGUAAUGGGUAAAGAAGCACCGGCUAACUACGUG